AUCCUUUCGCAGCUCGUAAGCGUGAUGACUGGCUCUUCGUGCACACGCGUGAGCUGUGCCUCCCUCAGCCCUUGUUAGCCGUCGGCACGUUACUCGUCUGACA
Molecule: small nucleolar RNA, 103 nt
Organism: Lemur catta (Ring-tailed lemur)
Lineage: Eukaryota; Metazoa; Chordata; Mammalia; Primates; Lemuridae
Product: small nucleolar RNA U13
Exons: 1
Source: RefSeq, a predicted model, not a curated record